AACGUUAAGACGAUGACGUUGAUAGGCCGGGUGUGUAAGCGCAGCGAUGCGUUGAGCUAACCGGUACUAAUGAACCGUGAGGCUUAACCUU
RNAcentral lists this ribosomal RNA (91 nucleotides) under Klebsiella pneumoniae subsp. pneumoniae ST512-K30BO. RNAcentral describes it as "Large Subunit Ribosomal RNA; lsuRNA; LSU rRNA". It matches the Rfam family "Bacterial large subunit ribosomal RNA", at positions 2834 to 2925 of the family's 2925-position model. The record is from RNAcentral. Lineage: Bacteria; Pseudomonadati; Pseudomonadota; Gammaproteobacteria; Enterobacterales; Enterobacteriaceae.